CCUACGGGAGGCAGCAGUGAGGAAUAUUGCACAAUGGGGGAAACCCUGAUGCAGCGACGCCGCGUGAGUGAAGAAGUAUUUCGGUAUGUAAAGCUCUAUCAGCAGGGAAGAAAUAGCGACCUUUGGGUCGCCAGACGGUACCUGAUUAAGAAGCCCCGGCUAACUACGUGCCAGCAGCCGCGGUAAUACGUAGGGGGCAAGCGUUAUCCGGAUUUAUUGGGUUUAAAGGGUGCGUAGGCGGAUGCUUAAGUCAGCGGUAAAAUUGCGGGGCUCAACCUCGUCGAGCCGUUGAAACUGGGUGCCGUGAGUGGGCGAGAAGUACGCGGAAUGCGUGGUGUAGCGGUGAAAUGCAUAGAUAUCACGCAGAACUCCGAUUGCGAAGGCAGCGUACCGGCGCCCAACUGACGCUGAAGCACGAAGGCGUGGGUAUCGAACAGGAUUAGAUACCCCAGUAGUC
This 457-nucleotide ribosomal RNA is filed under the name uncultured bacterium. RNAcentral describes it as "partial 16S ribosomal RNA". It matches the Rfam family "Bacterial small subunit ribosomal RNA", at positions 338 to 795 of the family's 1533-position model. The record is from RNAcentral.